UCACUGGGCUUAAAGGGCGCGCAGGCGGACAUGAUAGUGUUCUGUGAAAUCCCCCGGCUUAACCGGGGAAUGGCAGGGCAUACUACAUGUCUUGAGUCAAGUAGGGGUGUGUGGAACUCUUGGUGGAGCGGUGGAAUGCGUAGAUAUCAAGAGGAACGCCGAAGGUGAAGACAGCACACUGGGCUUGAACUGACGCUGAGGCGCGAAAGCGUGGGGAGCAAACAGGAUUAGAUACCCUGGUAGUCCACUCCGUAAACGAUGUGUACUAGGUUGCGGAGGUUCUGACACCCUCGCAGUCGCAGCAAAAGUGUUAAGUACACCGCCUGGGGAGUACGGUCGCAAGGCUAAAACUCAAAGGAAUUGACGGGGGCUCACACAAGCGGUGGAGCAUGUGGAUUAAUUUGAAGCAACGCGCAGAACCUUACCUGGGUUUGACAUGCUUGGAUGCCUGUCUGGAAACAGAUUCGGCUGCCUUCGGGUGAAACUUGCACAGGUGCGGCAUGGCUGUGGUCAGCUCUUGUCGUGAGAUGUCGGGUUAAAUCCUUUAACGAGAGAAACCCUUACCGUUAGUUUCCAUCGGGUCAUGCCGGGGGCUCUAGCGGGACUUCCGGUGUCAAACCGGAGGAAGGCGGGGAUGACGUCAAAUCCUCAUGGCCUUUAUACCCAGGGGUUCACACGUGCUACAAUGGCCGGUACAGAGCGAUGGGAUACCGCGAGGGGAGGCACAUUUCAAAAAACCGGCCCCA
This 746-nucleotide ribosomal RNA is filed under the name uncultured organism. RNAcentral describes it as "bacterial SSU rRNA". It matches the Rfam family "Bacterial small subunit ribosomal RNA", at positions 551 to 1290 of the family's 1533-position model. The record is from RNAcentral.